Molecule: ribosomal RNA, 497 nt
Filed under: uncultured bacterium
Lineage: Bacteria
Description: partial 16S ribosomal RNA
Rfam family: Bacterial small subunit ribosomal RNA
Source: RNAcentral
GAUGAACGCUGGCGGCGUGCCUAAUACAUGCAAGUCGAGCGAACGGACGAGAAGCUUGCUUCUCUGAUGUUAGCGGCGGACGGGUGAGUAACACGUGGAUAACCUACCUAUAAGACUGGGAUAACUUCGGGAAACCGGAGCUAAUACCGGAUGAUAUUUUGAACCGCAUGGUUCAAAAGUGAAAGACGGUCUUGCUGUCACUUAUAGAUGGAUCCGCGCUGCAUUAGCUAGUUGGUAAGGUAACGGCUUACCAAGGCAACGAUGCAUAGCCGACCUGAGAGGGUGAUCGGCCACACUGGAACUGAGACACGGUCCAGACUCCUACGGGAGGCAGCAGUAGGGAAUCUUCCGCAAUGGGCGAAAGCCUGACGGAUCAACGCCGCGUGAGUGAUGAAGGUCUUCGGAUCGUAAAACUCUGUUAUUAGGGAAGAACAUAUGUGUAGGUAACUGUGCACAUCUUGACGGUACCUAAUCAGAAAGCCACGGCUAACUACGUG